AGAGUUUGAUCCUGGCUCAGAGUGAACGCUGGCGGCGUGCCUAAUACAUGCAAGUCGAACGGAGAUUAAGUAGCUUGCUAUUUAAUCUUAGUGGCGCACGGGUGAGUAAUAUAUAGCUAAUCUGCCCUACACUAGAGGACAACAGUUGGAAACGACUGCUAAUACUCUAUACUCCUUCUUUACAUAAGUUAAGUCGGGAAAGUUUUUCGGUGUAGGAUGAGGCUAUAUCGUAUCAGCUAGUUGGUAGGGUAACGGCCUACCAAGGCUAUGACGCGUAACUGGUCUGAGAGGAUGAUCAGUCACACUGGAACUGAGACACGGUCCAGACUCCUACGGGAGGCAGCAGUAGGGAAUAUUGCUCAAUGGGGGAAACCCUGAAGCAGCAACGCCGCGUGGAGGAUGACACUUUUCGGAGCGUAAACUCCUUUUCUUGGGAAAGAAUUAUGACGGUACCCAAGGAAUAAGCACCGGCUAACUCCGUGCCAGCAGCCGCGGUAAUACGGAGGGUGCAAGCGUUACUCGGAAUCACUGGGCGUAAAGGACGCGUAGGCGGAUUAUCAAGUCUCUUGUGAAAUCUAACGGCUUAACCGUUAAACUGCUUGGGAAACUGAUAAUCUAGAGUAAGGGAGAGGCAGAUGGAAUUCUUGGUGUAGGGGUAAAAUCCGUAGAGAUCAAGAAGAAUACCCAUUGCGAAAGCGAUCUGCUGGAACUUAACUGACGCUAAUGCGUGAAAGCGUGGGGAGCAAACAGGAUUAGAUACCCUGGUAGUCCACGCCCUAAACGAUGUAUACUAGUUGUUGCUUCGCUAGUCGAGGCAGUAAUGCACCUAACGGAUUAAGUAUACCGCCUGGGGAGUACGGUCGCAAGAUUAAAACUCAAAGGAAUAGACGGGGACCCGCACAAGCGGUGGAGCAUGUGGUUUAAUUCGAAGAUACGCGAAGAACCUUACCCGGACUUGAUAUCUAACAAAUCAUCCAGAGAUGGAAGAGUGUCUGCUUGCAGAAAUGUUAAGACAGGUGCUGCACGGCUGUCGUCAGCUCGUGUCGUGAGAUGUUGGGUUAAGUCCCGCAACGAGCGCAACCCACGUCAUUAGUUGCUAACGGUUCGGCCGAGCACUCUAAUGAGACUGCCUUCGUAAGGAGGAGGAAGGUGUGGACGACGUCAAGUCAUCAUGGCCCUUAUGUCCGGGGCGACACACGUGCUACAAUGGCGUAUACAAUAAGACGCAAUAUCGCGAGAUGGAGCAAAUCUAUAAAAUACGUCCCAGUUCGGAUUGGAGUCUGCAACUCGACUCCAUGAAGCCGGAAUCGCUAGUAAUCGUAGAUCAGCCAUGCUACGGUGAAUACGUUCCCGGGUCUUGUACUCACCGCCCGUCACACCAUGGGAGUUGAUUUCACUCGAAGCCCAAAUACCAAACCGGUUAUGGUCCACAGUGGAAUCAGCGACUGGGGUGAAGUCGUAACAAGGUAACC
Molecule: ribosomal RNA, 1472 nt
Filed under: Campylobacter rectus
Lineage: Bacteria; Pseudomonadati; Campylobacterota; Epsilonproteobacteria; Campylobacterales; Campylobacteraceae
Description: 16S ribosomal RNA
Rfam family: Bacterial small subunit ribosomal RNA
Source: RNAcentral